RNAcentral lists this ribosomal RNA (253 nucleotides) under uncultured bacterium. RNAcentral's name for it is "partial 16S ribosomal RNA". It matches the Rfam family "Bacterial small subunit ribosomal RNA", at positions 524 to 776 of the family's 1533-position model. The record is from RNAcentral.
UACAGAGGGGGCAAGCGUUAUUCGGAAUUAUUGGGCGUAAAGGGCGCGUAGGCGGCAAUGCAAGUGACGGGUGAAAUCCCUCGGCUUAACCGAGGAACUGCCUGUCAGACGGCAUUGCUUGAGACCGGGAGAGGUGAGUGGAAUUCCCAGUGUAGCGGUGAAAUGCGUAGAUAUUGGGAGGAACACCAGUGGCGAAGGCGGCUCACUGGACCGGAACUGACGCUGAGGCGCGAAGGCGUGGGGAGCAAACAGG